AGUGAACGCUGGCGGUAGGCCUAACACAUGCAAGUCGAACGGCAGCACAGUAAGAGCUUGCUCUUACGGGUGGCGAGUGGCGGACGGGUGAGGAAUACAUCGGAAUCUACUUUUUCGUGGGGGAUAACGUAGGGAAACUUACGCUAAUACCGCAUACGACCUACGGGUGAAAGCAUGGGAUCUUCGGACCUUGCGCGAUUGAAUGAGCCGAUGUCGGAUUAGCUAGUUGGCGGGGUAAAGGCCCACCAAGGCGACGAUCCGUAGCUGGUCUGAGUGGAUGAUCAGCCACACUGGAACUGGGACACGGUCCAGACUCCUACGGGAGGCAGCAGUGGGGAAUAUUGGACAAUGGGCGCAAGCCUGAUCCAGCCAUACCGCGUGGGUGAAGAAGGCCUUCGGGUUGUAAAGCCCUUUUGUUGGGAAAGAAAAGCAGCAGGUUAAUACCCCGCUGUUCUGACGGUACCCAAAGAAUAAGCACCGGCUAACUUCGUG
This 492-nucleotide ribosomal RNA is filed under the name uncultured bacterium. Its description in RNAcentral is "partial 16S ribosomal RNA". It matches the Rfam family "Bacterial small subunit ribosomal RNA", at positions 29 to 507 of the family's 1533-position model. The record is from RNAcentral.